UAGAUGUAGGACUCCUCUGCCUCCUUGAUAGACACUGGCUUUUCAUAGCGUGAUUUUUCAUACAUCCAGAAGAAACCCAUAACUUAAGUGGUAUAAAAAGGGUGUUCUCCUGGCCGCCUGUCCCGCGCUGCUGAGCGGCGUUAAUGCGGCUCUUAAACAGCUGCUGUGCUUCUCGCUGCAAGUGGCUGCAUUUCGGUGAUAUCACAGAGUGUCACUGCUGCUGCAUUGGAUACUUCUGUUGACAUCUUACCAGGCUCAUGGGUCCUUUAAAUAUGAUAUGAGGGCAAUGGGACUAUUAAGAUUUUGUCAGCACACGUUAUUGUCUCUGCAGAUACAGUAAUAGCUCUUUGAAAACUACAUGUUCAGUGUGUGAAGAUCCUUUCUGAAGAUAAAUGACUUAGGUUUUUGUUAUAAUAGCAAAAGUAACCUAUCUAACUAGAAGCUGGCAUUUUAAUUGUCAAAUCUAGGUUCUUGUAAUUAUAAACCUGAAAUCUUGUUUCAUCUGUUGUCAAUAGAAAGGAACAGUUUAGCUGAUGAAUGCUUUUUUUCUUUAAGGCAAUUAAUUUAUACUAACAGCAAAUAUGAUGCAUCAUUCUUCACUCUGAUAUGUGUUAAAAUGGCUAAAGUAGAAGCUCUAAGGAAUGCAGCUUUUGUUGGGAUGAUGACUAACCUUUAUCAUUGUAAUUCAUUCAGACCAGAGCAUGAUGUUAGCUUUUUUUAAACCUGCUUGCUACAAGUAGCUAUUCUUUAACAACAUAGCUUUCAGCUGGUUUUGUCUCAUGAGUACAGACGGUGAAUUUUUGUUCCAUCAGUUUCUAUCCUUAGCCUACAUUUUGGCAGGUCUUUGUUGUAAGUGUGUGUCUCGCAUAUUUAUCUCACUCUUUCACUGAAGGCAUUUAAAAUUUUGGCUUGGCUUAUGGAUGUGUGCUCUUGGUGUUAGUGUAAUGUCCAUACAUCUAAUUGAUAAGUUAUAAUGCAUUUUUUUGUAGCUUUAACCAGUCAUUUAAAAUAAAUAAGAUCAUAAUGA
Long non-coding RNA from Hirundo rustica (Barn swallow), 1027 nucleotides. RefSeq lists it as uncharacterized. The record is from RefSeq and is a predicted model, not a curated record. NCBI's taxonomy places the organism in Eukaryota, Metazoa, Chordata, Aves, Passeriformes, Hirundinidae. The transcript is spliced from 3 exons.